Molecule: long non-coding RNA, 434 nt
Organism: Drosophila biarmipes
Lineage: Eukaryota; Metazoa; Arthropoda; Insecta; Diptera; Drosophilidae
Exons: 2
Source: RefSeq, a predicted model, not a curated record
UCCCCUGUGAAGUCGGAGCGUUUCAUCAGCCACUUUAUUAAUGUAUCGCGAUCGGGAAUGUCCGCCGCUGAUUUUAAGGGAUCAGAAGAAUAAUAUAGGGGUAUUCGUUUUCUGAUCCCUGAAAAAAAACCGCGGAUAUUCCCGAUCGCGAAUACAAUUCUGUAGUGGCUAUACGAGUUCUGCCACGUCUCGCUUUAAAUGUAUCUGACCGAAUAUUAGCGUUCAGAACUGAUCGAAACCUUCCCAAGAUACAUACGGAGGUGUGAUUCACUUGGAAACUCGGUGUACCGCAGAAAACUGAUUGGAUGUGCUUUCGCAUAUCGGAUUUUGGUGAAGUCACCAAACGUCAACAAAACAAUUUAUAUGACAAAUCUUCAAAUGGGAAAUUGUAUGAGUCAAACCUGAAUUUGUAAUAAAAAGAGUUCGUGAUAUAA